GUAUAGGCAUGGCUCCUUAUGAUGCCUUAUAUAGGAGACCAUGCAGAUCACCUUUGUGUUGGGCAGAACCAGAUUAGCAUGUCACAAUUGGAUCUCAAAUUUCUAGUACUACUGGGAAGAUCAAAGUUUUUUUUUUUUUUUCCAAGAAAGACUUAAGGUUGUUCAAAGUCGUUAGGAGAGUUAUGCCGAUCUCCUCCGAUGAGAAGUUGAGUUUGAGGUUGGUGACUAUGUCUUAUUGAAAGUUACUCCUAUGCGUGGUGUGACGAGAUUUGGAGUGAAGGGUAAGCUAGCCCCGAGGUAUAUUGGACCUUUCGAGGUUAUCGAGAGUGAUGGGGAGGUCGCUUAUCGAUUGAACUUACCAGCGCGGUUGGGGCAUGUUCACAAUGUGUUCCAUGUGUCGAUGCUGAGAAAGUAUACUCCAGACCCAUCACACAUCAUUAGGUAUGAGGCUAUCCCUCUUCAAGAUGACGUGACAUGUGAAGAACAACCUAUCAGAAUUCUAGCGAGAGAGUUAAAGGUGCUAAGGAAUAGAGAGAUUCCCGUAGUCAAGGUCUUAUGGCGAAACCAUAGAGAAGACGAGGCUACUUGGGAGUUAGAGUUGGAGUUGUAUGAGAAGUAUCCUCAUUUGUAUAAUUUUCAGCUUGGGGUUGUACUUUGAAAAUUUCGGGACGAAAUUUCUUUAAGGAAGGAAGAAUGUAGAGACUCAGAAAAAGAAAAAAAAAAGUAUUAUUUAAAUUUUUUUUUUUUGUGGGUGGGACCCACCUAAGUAAAUGAGUCAGUACUCAUUUUUUUCUUCUUUUCUUUCCUUCUUCUUUUCCCUUCUCUCUCCCCGAAACCCCUUCUUCUUCUCCCUUUUUCUUUUCUUUUCUUUCCUUUGUUUUCUCUCCAAACCAGUCACGGCCACAACCAGUUGGACCACCGCCGGAGUGCCAUUUCCGACACGCGCCGCUGCAGCUUCCCUGACUGGCGUUGACGAAAACCCCAAAGUUUGGUGGCCAUCGGAGCAAGGACGCGCCUAUACAGCCACUCCGAAGUUUCGCCGUUGAAACUUUGAGGUGACUUUUCGGACAACUCCGACCACCAUUCAGCGAGUGGGUGGUACCGUUGGAAUCAGCGUCCUGAGAGGAUCGUCGCCCACUAAGUCAUUCCGGUCAACUCACCAUUUUUCUCCGGCGAGAUUUUGGGUAUCUUCGCCCCUUUGGAAGCAUUUUCCGGCGACACCGAAGGUCAUUUGGGCGAAGGAGCUGUACUUUCGUGAUGUACUCAUCGGGAUGAUCGUUUUGAUAUAUACCAUGCAUAUAUUCGUUGACGUUUCCAGUACCGCCACCAACCGCUAUUGUGCACCGCUUGGGAAAAACGUGAUAUUAAAAUCGGACUAAAUCAUUCUAAGAUCAUCGAUAAGCUUAGGAGCGUUGCUUUGGGCUCGGAUUAAAUUCUAAGGAGAUAUCUAAAGAGGAGCCUAGUGACGCGAACGUGGAAAUGAUGAAUUAUCGAUGGAGCCAAUGUGUUUAGCCUAUUUCUAUUUCGGGUCAUUGUCUUAUCUUUUGAGCAUUAUAUAUGUAUUCGACUUCGAACCUAAUGAUCGGUAUAUCUGAAUGAGCUAUGAAAUAGUUAGGGAUGAGGAAUGGUGGAUGCUAAGUAUUAUUUUGAGUGUUUAUGACUUAUUAAAUUUAA
Humulus lupulus (European hop) is the source of this 1674-nucleotide long non-coding RNA. RefSeq lists it as uncharacterized. The record is from RefSeq and is a predicted model, not a curated record. The transcript has 3 exons. NCBI's taxonomy places the organism in Eukaryota, Viridiplantae, Streptophyta, Magnoliopsida, Rosales, Cannabaceae.